Rosa rugosa (rugosa rose) is the source of this 1327-nucleotide long non-coding RNA. RefSeq lists it as uncharacterized. The record is from RefSeq and is a predicted model, not a curated record. The transcript has 3 exons. Lineage: Eukaryota; Viridiplantae; Streptophyta; Magnoliopsida; Rosales; Rosaceae.
ACCCGUGAAAACCCCAUCUUUCUUUAGAACCUUCUCCUUUGUUUUCUACUCUGAUCAAACCUUUUCAUCCCUGGUGAAACUCCAUUUCUGUAGCAAAAGUGACUCAGAACAGAGCCAAAUCUUCUUGUUCAUAAUUCUGAAUUGAGAGAAAAUUACAAGGUGAAAGUCUCUUCUGGACACGCCUGUCAGCCAACUUCGACAGCUGAAAACUGCCAUUUCUGCAGUUCACAUCACCACGACUUUUUCAUGAAAGUUGUUCUAAAUUUCAUCUUCUAUACUGUGCUCGAAAAUCAUGAUAAUCCAACGGUUAAUUCGUCCUCAAUCAAGUUUCUACUCAGAUUGGGUCAUGUUUCUCCAUCGACAUUGAGUUAAUUUCAUGAAGUUUACAUCUCCAUCUUGAGUUCACACAAUUGAUUUUACAAUUGGAUGACGAAGCAUGGAAUCUGGUUGCACAAGCCAAAGGCAGAGGUAUUGCUUGACCUGGAAUAACAUUCGAAGCACUUUGAUUCGAGGUAGGGAGGCUUCACCCUAGUUAGUGCUCUUAUGUUUCCUACAUUGUUUUUAUGGUUUGAAGUUGUUUUUAAGAUUUAACACUUGAGUUCAUGAGAUGACUUGAGAGUGAGCGGGGCAUAGCGACUUCCUUGGGUUUCAAUCCCCUAAACCUCCGGAGGGGCUGUACGGACGGGAUAGUGUCUGACAUCCUUUGAGGUGUGACACUAGAUCUAGGUGGUACGGCGUAAAUGGACACUCUCGCUACUCUUCACCUGUUGUUGAAGAUUUAAAUCUUUGGUGAGGAUGUAGUUGGCUAGUAUUAGACCGGUCAUCAGGUUUGAUUUUACCCGGGUACUCAUUCGUUUUCAUAUGGUUUCACCUUGGGAGUUCUUUAUUUAAUUUUAUUAUAUUUUACUCAACUGGCGCCAAUUACUAUUUGGUUUUCAAACCUAGCUAGGGCUAAUGUUUGAGCAGCGAGGACGAAAGCUCACCCCUACUAUAGUUGGUCUUGCAGGUACUGUGCACGAGGAUUGAGGAGGAUUUCGGGACUGAGCUGGGUGCUACAUUUUUCUUUAACUAUUUGGUAUAUUUACCUACACAUUUUAUUCACCUCUACUGAAUUGUUAUUGUUUGAUAGAGGUUGAGUGUUAUCUUGUUUUUGUCAAUGUUUGCUGAGCUUCUUAACUUUGUAUUCAAAUGGUUUGAACCAAACUAGAAUUUAUUUUCAAUGUUGUAAGUUGUUGAUUCAGCUUUGUUUCACUUAAGUAGUUAUGUUUGGAAAGCAGUCAAUUGUUUAGUUAUAAUGUCAUUUUAACAAGUAAGAAUAAAGUUUUCA